Pteropus alecto (black flying fox) is the source of this 1114-nucleotide long non-coding RNA. RefSeq lists it as uncharacterized. The transcript has 3 exons. The record is from RefSeq and is a predicted model, not a curated record. NCBI's taxonomy places the organism in Eukaryota, Metazoa, Chordata, Mammalia, Chiroptera, Pteropodidae.
UAGAUUAACCAGUUAAAGCUGUGGAUCUUUGAACUGUGCGGGCCCACUUAUACAUUUUCCCCCCAGUAAAUACUAUAAAUAUAUUUUCUCUUCUUUAAGUUUUCUUAAUAACAUGUUCUUUUCUCUAGCUUACUUUAUUGUAAGACUAUAGUUUAUAAUACUUAUAACUUACAAAAUAUGUGUUCAUCGACUUUAUAUUGUUGGUAAGGCUUACUGUCAAUAGUAGGAUAUUAGUGGUUAAGUUUUGGGGGAGUUACAAGUUAUAUGUGGAUUUGCAUGGGAGGGGGGUGGUAACCCCAGCAUUGUUAAAGCGUCCACGGUAUUCUUUCCUGGUUCAGUCACAUUGCUAUCACUUCUAGCAUCUCGGAAUCAGAGGACCUGUAGGCAUCAUGUACUUCAACCUCCUCUUGUUACGUGAGGAAGCCAUAUUCUAGAGAGGAAGGCCAAUCAGCCCGUGGUCACACUGAAAAGUUUACUGGCUGUUCUGAGUAUUUAGACAGACUUCUGAGUAUGGGAAGCUAUGUCUCUACCUCAGAGAGAAAUCAUCAUUUUUGGAAAGUGCCUUGGCCAUUGCAGUGUCCAACAGUAAACAGAUCAAAGGCAAAAGGGUGUGAAUCAGAAGAGAAAGUCUCUGGAAAGGGAUAGCCAUGUCCCUCCCACUUCUGCUCUAUCAAGAAGAGAUGCUCUCCUCAGCUGGCAGCUACAGGGACGCUUGCUUGUGCCCACAAUGUGGAGAACUCUCAAAGACCAGUUCCCAAAGAAGAGCCAUCCUCAGGAUGCCUUUUCCAUUAUUGCAUUAAAGAUGAGAAAACAGGUUCGGAUAAAGGAAGUGACUUAGCAAAGUCACACAAAUCAGGAUGGGUGGAGUCAAGAACUAAACCUCUGGACUCUGAAGACUCUGCUUGCCCCACUGUGUUGGACUGUCAGACAAACACGAAGCCUGAAGAUAGACUGUGUUAUCUUGGAAAGUAUUGAGUUCCCUGUCAUUGGAGGUGAUCAUUUGUCAAGAAUUCCAUGGAAGGAAUUCAAUAAAAGAAGUUUGACUCUGGAAUCAUGCCGCCUUAGUAAUUAAUUUGCUGAAGUUUUCUUAAGCUGUUUUUUAGACCUAUUAUAC